This is a small nucleolar RNA of Choloepus hoffmanni (Hoffmann's two-fingered sloth), 75 nucleotides long. Lineage: Eukaryota; Metazoa; Chordata; Mammalia; Pilosa; Megalonychidae. The record is from Ensembl.
UGGACCAAUGAUGACAACCGGUGGCAUAGGAGUCAUAGAUGAUGAAUAAUACGUGUCUGGGAGUCUGGGGUCCCA